ACAGGGGUCAGUGGUGGAAGUGAGACCGAAAUAGACUCUGAAGUAAUAUCUGGACUUUGAAAUUGCAGCUAUUCCCAACCCCAGAACCUUUGCUGUCUUGGAACAGAUCACCACUGCAAGAGGGGAAGUUGCUACUGUGAUGAAUUCUGCCAUGUGGUACCAGACUGCUACCCAGACCACAGUGUCCUCUGCAACCCUCCUUCUCAGAUGACCAAGAUGGUGCUGCAGAUGGUGCUGAGGAUGGAGAACCCACCAAGCCCCGCUAGGAGCCACCUAGACUGGAUGUAGAGCAUGGUUCAGCGAGUUCUCCAAACCAGCCUCCCAGGAAUGCCGGUCUCCAUGGCUGUGAGGGGAAUCAAGAAGAGAGCCUGACUCCUCUCCUGAGGCCCCUUCCCCACCCUGAGCCAGCAGGAUCCACGGAGCAGAGGUCAUCUGUCCCCAGCUUGGCCCGCUGAGGCCAGCAUGGCUGGGCCCAUGAUGCUUGUCUCUCAGCUCCCAUCCUGUGUACUUCCACAUUGGUUUAACCAGAGCAAAACUGAAAUCUACAAUUGUCAUAAACACAUUUAAAUGUGCGUAGAAUCAGCCUUACAGGUUGUGAAACAUG
Molecule: long non-coding RNA, 604 nt
Filed under: Pan troglodytes (chimpanzee)
Lineage: Eukaryota; Metazoa; Chordata; Mammalia; Primates; Hominidae
Description: lincRNA
Source: RNAcentral